GACGAACGCUGGCGGCGUGCCUAAUACAUGCAAGUUGAGCGCUGAAGGUUGGUACUUGUACCAACUGGAUGAGCAGCGAACGGGUGAGUAACGCGUGGGGAAUCUGCCUUUGAGCGGGGGACAACAUUUGGAAACGAAUGCUAAUACCGCAUAAAAACUUUAAACACAAGUUUUAAGUUUGAAAGAUGCAAUUGCAUCACUCAAAGAUGAUCCCGCGUUGUAUUAGCUAGUUGGUGAGGUAAAGGCUCACCAAGGCGAUGAUACAUAGCCGACCUGAGAGGGUGGUCGGCCACAUUGGGACUGAGACACGGCCCAAACUCCUACGGGAGGCAGCAGUAGGGAAUCUUCGGCAAUGGACGAAAGUCUGACCGAGCAACGCCGCGUGAGUGAAGAAGGUUUUCGGAUCGUAAAACUCUGUUGGUAGAGAAGAACGUUGGUGGGAGUGGAAAGCUCAUCAAGUGACGGUAACUACCCAGAAAGGGACGGCUAACUACGUG
RNAcentral lists this ribosomal RNA (497 nucleotides) under uncultured bacterium. Its description in RNAcentral is "partial 16S ribosomal RNA". It matches the Rfam family "Bacterial small subunit ribosomal RNA", at positions 28 to 507 of the family's 1533-position model. The record is from RNAcentral.